GACGAACGCUGGCGGCGUGCUUAACACAUGCAAGUCGAACGGAAAGGCCCCUUUGGGGGUCCUCGAGUGGCGAACGGGUGAGUAACACGUGAGUAACCUGCCCUUGACUUCGGGAUAACUUCAGGAAACUGGGGCUAAUACCGGAUAGGAAUCCUUGCUGCAUGGUGGGGGUUGGAAAGCUUCGGCGGUUUUGGAUGGACUCGCGGCUUAUCAGCUUGUUGGUGGGGUAGUGGCUUACCAAGGCUUUGACGGGUAGCCGGCCUGAGAGGGCGACCGGCCACAUUGGGACUGAGAUACGGCCCAGACUCCUACGGGAGGCAGCAGUGGGGAAUAUUGCACAAUGGGCGGAAGCCUGAUGCAGCAACGCCGCGGGCGGGAUGACGGCCUUCGGGUUGUAAACCGCGUUCAGCAGGGGCGAAGCUUGUGGUGACGGUACCUGCAGAAGAAGCACCGGCUAACUACGUG
Molecule: ribosomal RNA, 465 nt
Filed under: uncultured bacterium
Lineage: Bacteria
Description: partial 16S ribosomal RNA
Rfam family: Bacterial small subunit ribosomal RNA
Source: RNAcentral